CACGUAGUUGGCCGGUGCUUCUUCUGCGGGUACCGUCACUUUCGCUUCGUCCCUGCUGAAAGAGGUUUACAACCCGAAGGCCGUCAUCCCUCACGCGGCGUUGCUGGAUCAGGCUUUCGCCCAUUGUCCAAUAUUCCCCACUGCUGCCUCCCGUAGGAGUCUGGGCCGUGUCUCAGUCCCAGUGUGGCCGGUCACCCUCUCAGGCCGGCUACCCGUCGAAGCCUUGGUGGGCCAUUACCCCACCAACAAGCUGAUAGGCCGCGAGCUCAUCCAUCACCGCCGGAACUUUCCACCACCGUCAGAUGCCUGAAGUGGUCAUAUUCGGUAUUAGCACCGGUUUCCCGGAGUUAUCCCGAUGUGAUGGGCAGAUUGCUCACGUGUUACUCACCCGUUCGCCGCUCGUGUACCCCGAAGGGCCUUACCGCUCGACUUGCAUGUGUUAAGCACGCCGCCAGCGUUCGUCCUGAGCCAGGAGUCAAACUCU
RNAcentral lists this ribosomal RNA (484 nucleotides) under uncultured Marmoricola sp. RNAcentral describes it as "partial 16S ribosomal RNA". The record is from RNAcentral. Lineage: Bacteria; Bacillati; Actinomycetota; Actinomycetes; Propionibacteriales; Nocardioidaceae.